Molecule: ribosomal RNA, 429 nt
Filed under: Verrucomicrobiota bacterium
Lineage: Bacteria; Pseudomonadati; Verrucomicrobiota
Description: Verrucomicrobia bacterium partial 16S ribosomal RNA
Rfam family: Bacterial small subunit ribosomal RNA
Source: RNAcentral
UAGGGAAUCUUCCGCAAUGGACGAAAGUCUGACGGAGCAACGCCGCGUGAGUGAAGAAGGAUUUCGGUUCGUAAAACUCUGUUGUUAGGGAAGAAAAAAUGUAUAGUAACUAUAUACAAAAGAGACGGUACCUAACCAGAAAGCCACGGCUAACUACGUGCCAGCAGCCGCGGUAAUACGUAGGUGGCAAGCGUUGUCCGGAAUUAUUGGGCGUAAAGCGCGCGCAGGUGGUUUAGAAAGUAUGAUGUGAAAGCCCACGGCUCAACCGUGGAGGGUCAUUGGAAACUAAUAAACUUGAGUGCAGGAGAGAAAAGUGGAAUUCCUAGUGUAGCGGUGAAAUGCGUAGAGAUUAGGAGGAACACCGGUGGCGAAAGCGGCUUUUUGGCCUGCAACUGACACUGAGGCGCGAAAGCGUGGGGAGCAAACAGG